UACGUAGGGGGCAAGCGUUGUCCGGAUUUAUUGGGCGUAAAGAGCGUGUAGGCGGCCAAGCAGGUCCGCUGUGAAAACUCGAGGCUCAACCUCGAGACGUCGGUGGAAACCGUUUGGCUAGAGUCCGGAAGAGGAGAGUGGAAUUCCCGGUGUAGCGGUGAAAUGCGCAGAUAUCGGGAAGAACACCCGUGGCGAAGGCGGUCUGCUGGGCCGUUGCUGACGCUGAGGCGCGACAGCGUGGGGAGCAACCAGG
This 253-nucleotide ribosomal RNA is filed under the name uncultured bacterium. Its description in RNAcentral is "partial 16S ribosomal RNA". It matches the Rfam family "Bacterial small subunit ribosomal RNA", at positions 524 to 776 of the family's 1533-position model. The record is from RNAcentral.